AUGCGUUGAGGAAAUAAAGGUUCACUGCUCGAUCCCGUUGGAGGCUUUGCGUCGUAUGAAGCAGAUACCGCAAUGGCACUGCUUAAGAUACCGACGAUUCCCGCUUCACAGUCCUUGCAAUCGUUGGUGGUUGAUGCGAAGACAAUGAAAAUAAAAUUAAGCUCUCAAAAAUAUCAAGUCUUGACAAACA
Melitaea cinxia (Glanville fritillary) is the source of this 190-nucleotide long non-coding RNA. RefSeq lists it as uncharacterized. NCBI's taxonomy places the organism in Eukaryota, Metazoa, Arthropoda, Insecta, Lepidoptera, Nymphalidae. The transcript has 2 exons. The record is from RefSeq and is a predicted model, not a curated record.